UACGUAGGGGGCGAGCGUUAAUCGGAAUUAUUGGGCGUAAAGGGUGCGUAGGCGGUUUGUUAAGACGGAUGUGAAAUCCCUGGGCUCAACCUGGGAACUGCAUACGUGACUGGCAGACUAGAGUAUGGCAGAGGGAGGUGGAAUUCCACGUGUAGCAGUGAAAUGCGUAGAUAUGUGGAGGAACACCGAUGGCGAAGGCAGCCCCCUGGGUCAAAACUGACGCUCAUGCACGAAAGCGUGGGGAGCAAACAGG
This 253-nucleotide ribosomal RNA is filed under the name uncultured bacterium. RNAcentral describes it as "partial 16S ribosomal RNA". It matches the Rfam family "Bacterial small subunit ribosomal RNA", at positions 524 to 776 of the family's 1533-position model. The record is from RNAcentral.